ACCCGCUGAACUUAAGCAUAUCACUAAGCGGAGGAAAAGAAAUUAACUAAGAUUGCCUCAGUAACGGCGAGUGAAGCGGCAAGAGCCCAAGCUGGAAAUCUUCACACUGCGUGUGACGAAUUGUAAUCUAAAGAGGGUUCGCUCAACGGGCGGUGGCGCAGAAGUGCCUUAGAACGGGCCGCCAGAGAGGGUGACAGCCCCGUAUGUGGUGCCACUGCCUAACGAGCGGGUCCCCAAAGAGUCGGGUUGUUUUGUAUUGCAGCCCUAAGUGGGAGAUAAACUUCUUCUAAGGCUAAAUACCUAUGGGAAACCGAUAGCGAACAAGUACUGUGAAGGAAAGAUGAAAAGAACUUUGAAAAGAGAGUCAAAAGACUUGAAAUCGUUGAGAAGGAAGCGGUAGAAAUUUAUUCUUCGGCGGUGAACGGUGACUUCUGCCUAUCCAUUGCCGGCUGCCAGCACUUCAAAAGGCUGCGGCUGGCACAUGGGGAAGCGGUUGUCUUGUUCUCCGUCGUGAGGCAAAAUGAGGUCGCACAUCCGCAGAGGCUUCCCAAACCUGGCCCGAUUCGUCGGGUAGUUUGGGUUCGCCGGUGGGCGUGCGGCCUGAGGGUGCUUCGUGCGAUUUUGCCAAAAUGGUUUU
RNAcentral lists this ribosomal RNA (637 nucleotides) under uncultured fungus. RNAcentral's name for it is "eukaryotic LSU rRNA". It matches the Rfam family "Eukaryotic large subunit ribosomal RNA", at positions 23 to 640 of the family's 3401-position model. Lineage: Eukaryota; Fungi. The record is from RNAcentral.